RNAcentral lists this unclassified non-coding RNA (2349 nucleotides) under Schizosaccharomyces pombe (fission yeast). RNAcentral's name for it is "non-coding RNA (predicted)". The record is from RNAcentral. Lineage: Eukaryota; Fungi; Ascomycota; Schizosaccharomycetes; Schizosaccharomycetales; Schizosaccharomycetaceae.
AAUUGUACAAGGAAGAAAGAAGAAUUAGAGGCAAAAUAUCUCAAUUCUUACUACUGUCCAACUAACCGAGUGUACAAUUAAAUCCUUACUUUCAAUUCACACUACCCUAAAUCCAACAAGCAGCAGCAAAAGGGCAAGCGUUUUGAUGCUUCAAACAGCUUAAGUAGCUAACAACUAUGGUUAGAUUGGUACCUGAGCGGUGAUUUCGUCUAUACUAUUUCGAAAAAGACAGACGGCAACUCUGGUAUAAUUUGUAUUUAUGAGGCACUACGUCAUGCAUCAUCCAUUUACGAUUUUAAUUUUUCGAGUGGGGUAGAGAGGACAGUUCGGAAAAUGUAACAUUGGAAAAGGAUCCAACACAUACCACCAAACAAGCAUCAUUCAAGUAAAGAAGAUUGGAGUGUAAGUCUUACUCUUCGAUUAUGACCUUGGGCGAGGGGAGCAGGCAGUAAGCUGAGACCUGUGUGAGCUUUGCAUUCUAUGUAAGUAUCGCAUAGAGAAGCGCCGCUCAUCAAAAUAGUUUUUUAUGUUUUAUGUUUAUAUGUCAUUAACUGGUUGGUCCAGCAUUUCUAUACUACUAAACUAUACUGCUCUAUUACUACUCUAGUAACUCAAUGAGUCGUCCCUUGUUUAUGGCUGAAGAUGCAAGCAAUCGGGAUAGCAAAGAUGACCAAAGGAAGUGUUCCAAAAAACGCGCAAUCUUUCCAAGCAAUGUUUAAUGAGUGUUUUCCCAAUCUGAGUUUGUUCACUUUCAUAAUAUUUUAAAUUUUCAAGCCCCAAUUUUACCAAGUUCAAUUCCAGUUACGGAGACUUAUUUACUCAGAUAUGAAAGUAAAGUGCACAAGGGAUAAGGCAACUAACUUGAUCGCAAAGCGUGGGCAGCUAUCACAAAGCUAGAAAGAAACAUAUAAAAAAUCCAUAGACGAUUGGGUACCAAGAUGAAGCAAAGCAUGUUUUCGCAACUGACCAGUUUUACCUGACAGUCGGAAAAUUUUUCAGCUGUAUAAAAAAAAGAAGACAUGGGGACUUGCAAACAAUCUAGAAAAAAGGGAUUUUUGCGUAUCUAGAACAAAUGUUAAACAUGAAAUGGGGUCUUGAAACUGAAUACAGCGAACUAGACAUGCUUUUCGCCCCUCCCCCGCUUGGUCCAUGAAAACAUUACUAAGUAUACCCUGCUACCAUAACUCCUCUCCUAUUUCUCAUUGCUCGAUAAAUAGCACAAAGCAGCUUGACACUACAAACUACAUUUCAACGCAAAAAAAAUAAGGAGGACUUUGUUAAACUGCUCAUCGUUCCUAAUUUCAUUCGGUUCCUUAAAUUUAAUGGGUAAGAAUGGUAAGAUAUCCUGAUGCCGUUACUUGCUGGUUACUUAGUCUUGGAGGUUCGGGAAGGACUGCAUUUGCCCCGCUAAAAUAAAAUAAUCUUCAGGUGAGAUAGAAUUAGCUAGGUUUCGUAAUGUUUAUGUGGUACUGAAGUCAAUCCGUUGUUGUUCGUUCAUUUAUUCAUUACAUACUAAUAAAAGCAUGUACUAGUUAUAAAAAAAAGUCUUCCAAGAUAUUCACAUGUAGUGGGAGGGUUUUUAUAUUGUUUUGUUUUUUGAUGGUUUUUUUUUUUUUAUAAAGAUGAAAUUCUUAUUUGCGUAAGUUUAAUUUUUGCUUGAUUAUAGGUAUCCUUGACAAUUAUUGAAUAUGUAUCUUAUAUCUCUUAUAUAUGUGUAUCUUAUAUAUCUUGCAUAUCUUGAUAUAUCCCGAUAUAUUGUGGAAACUAGUUUGCCGGAUCUGUUUCAUGUUGGUUUUAGGGCAAUAAUUUGAAUUAUGAGCAAGAUGCGCUUCCCAGUUUAAAAUAAAACUAUGUUAAUUUAAUUCAAAAAAUUAUUAUAAGAAAAUAAUUGAAUAAAUCAAUCAUUAGCUAAGUCAAUAUUAGAAGACAACGGAAAAAAUAUAGAGUAAUCUUGUUUUUUCCUAAUUUUUUUCUUUUGCCAGUUGGUUGAGAAUAUGUCCAAUAUCUAUAUUUACAGUGUGCAAAAAAGUGGAUCAUGAACAACCGACUUUCUGAUUUUCUAAUCUAUUGUGAAAACGAUGAAAGAAACUGUUUUUCCAGCUACUGUUCUUUCGCUGUGGCUUUUAUUUCUUUUCAAGAGUUUUAGCUUUCUUAUUUUUUGUUGUAAGCGUAUAACCCAAUGCUUACUCUCGUCCAUAACCGCGUAACCGUAUAACCUUCGACUUGAUGACUACUACUUCUUAUAACGAAGCUGUUGGCUUAUCCAAAGGCCGUACGAAAAUAAAUAAAAAAUCAUCUUAUAAUUCCAAAAAUUAGAAAAUCUUCAAAAAUUUAUGCUUUUACCUCAUA